AGAGCGAACGCUGGCGGCAGGCCUAACACAUGCAAGUCGAGCGCCCGUAGCAAUACGGGAGCGGCAGACGGGAUAGUAACACGUGGGAACGCGCCCUUCGGUUCGGAAUAACUCAGGGAAACUUGAGCUAAUACCGAAUACGCCCUUACGGGGAAAGAUUUAUUGCCGAAGGAACGGCCCGCGUCCGAUUAGCUAGUUGGUGAGGUAAUGGCUCACCAAGGCUACGAUCGGUAGCUGGUCUGAGAGGAUGACCAGCAUCACUGGGACUGAGACACGGCCCAGACUCCUACGGGAGGCAGCAGUGGGGAAUAUGGACAAUGGGCGCAAGCCUGAUCCAGCCAUGCCGCGUGGAUGAUGAAGGCCUUAGGGUUGUAAAGUCCUUUUAACGGGGAAGAUAAUGACGGUACCCGUAGAAUAAGCCCCGGCUAACUUCGUGCCAGCAGCCGC
This 447-nucleotide ribosomal RNA is filed under the name uncultured bacterium. Its description in RNAcentral is "SSU rRNA". It matches the Rfam family "Bacterial small subunit ribosomal RNA", at positions 26 to 518 of the family's 1533-position model. The record is from RNAcentral.